Platichthys flesus (European flounder) is the source of this 1813-nucleotide long non-coding RNA. RefSeq lists it as uncharacterized. The record is from RefSeq and is a predicted model, not a curated record. The transcript is spliced from 5 exons. Lineage: Eukaryota; Metazoa; Chordata; Actinopteri; Pleuronectiformes; Pleuronectidae.
UGUGUGUGUGUGUGUGUGUGUGUGUGUGUGUGUGUGUGUGUGUGUGUGUGUGUGUGUGUGUGUGUGUGUGUGUGUGUUCUGGUAAUCAUCACGCGAUGGGGACCGUUGACUGUUUACACAGUCACGUCAUGGGGACCGGUUGCGCUUUGGGGACCAAAAUCCCGGUCCCCAUGAGGAUAACCCUUUUAAAUGACUACUAGAGCUACUCUGAAGGUGCCCGUGAAGUUUUAAGCAUUGGCCCAUACGACAUGUUUUUUGGUGAGUGUGAGUGUGUGAGCAUUGCUCAUUGGUGGCCCUACUGUUUCUAGUUAGUACUGCACCCACUGCUUCACACACACACAUCUUCCAAAUAUGGUUGGGUGCCACCCACUUCCUUGUCCCCAUUAGGAAUGAUUCAAGCAGCGAGGACAUUUUCAGCAUCAAGAGGUAGCUAUCAACAGUAAAAGAAGAUUAUUUGCUGGAGAAACUAGCUAAGAAGAUAAGAACAUGUGCAGAGGAGCAAAAGUAAAGCAUAAGAAAUGCCACCACGGAUCAGCAAUUCAACAUGAUACACAUCUGCAAAUUAGAGGUCCAGUAUAUUUAUGCAGCAAAAGGAUGUGGUAUAUUUGCAAAGGGUACAAUUUGCAAAGGAGACUUUGUUAUAUAUAGGGGGGAGGUCUAGAGGCGGUGGUCUAUCGGCAGAAACUUGGACUAUGGGCAGAGAAGGUCUCUGGUUCGUCUCUGGUUCGUCUUUGGUUCGACUCCACGGAGAAACAACAAAAGAUGAACCUGGAUUGAUCUGUCCAAAAAUCCAAGAGUUUCCCUACCCUGUCUAGUGCCCCUGAGCAAGGCACCUUACUCCCCCAACAUCUGCUCCCCGAGCGCCGUACAUGGUCGCUCACUGCUCUGUGUAUCCUGCACCAGAUGGGUCAAAAGCAGAGAUUAAAUUUCCCUACCUGCAUGAGUGUGCCUUUGCAUGUCUGUGCAUGUGUUUGGGACUAAUAAAUGCAUCUUAAUCUGCAUCUGCAUUUUAAGGAUAUAAUAAGUGAUGCAGAAUCCCAGAGAAGGAGAAAACUUUACCACCCCUGAUGUGCUGCAUUCAUGUUUGCCUUCAAGUGAACUUAAGAAUUCCUAAACUACACUCCAUAUACUAUUUUAAGUUAUACUAAGUGGGGCUCUGGUUUUAUUGUGAUAUAUUGUGACAUUUGUAUUUUUUCUUUUUCAAUUUUUCCAAUUUCUCAAGUAUUGAUGCCUUCAGAGAAGAUGGCUCAAUUGGGUGACAAGUUAAUGAUGAACACAGACGUCCUUACUCCAAAAUGAAAAAAAUUGGUGUUAAUGGAGAACCCCACCUUUGUUUAUUUGCCCUGGAUGACAUCAAAGAAGGAGAAGAAAUCGCCUAUAACUAUAGAGGUGAAGACUGCCCAUGGCAAACACAGACGACCAGCAUCACUGUUAACACCAUGGAGGAGGAUGAUUCAGAUCCUGUCCACUCAGAGAGUCUGAUGGCUUGUGCCUUUGGGCCAAAGACACCACCUGAAGAGGUACAACUGCCCAAAAGAAGAAAACACCCUGGAAGGAGACAGACGUGAAGGCAGUGGAAAGGCACAUGAAUCGAUUCAUCACAUCUUGUAUUGCUCCAGCAAAGUUUGACUGUGAGAAGUGUUUAAGGGCUGAUCCAGAAGCUCUUAAGGACCGGAGCUGGCAGAAUGUGAAAUUCUACAUAUAUAACCGCAUUACAGCCAACAAGAGGAAAUUAAGUAAAUAAUGGGAAGAUUACCACCAGUAAGCGGUUGCUAUGUGGUUGUCUGAAAUUAAAAAUAUCUUACAAAUUUGA